This 693-nucleotide long non-coding RNA is filed under the name Musa acuminata (dwarf banana). RNAcentral describes it as "long non-coding RNA (MACU_LNC001361)". Lineage: Eukaryota; Viridiplantae; Streptophyta; Magnoliopsida; Zingiberales; Musaceae. The record is from RNAcentral.
GGAGAUCCCAGAGGCGUCGGUGGCGCAGGAGGCGACGGAGCGAGCGGCGGGGGAGACGGGCUCUUUGGUGGCGGCGGAGGUGGCGAAGUCGGUGGUGAUUGUGGGGCCGGAGGGGGAGACCGGCUCGGCGGAGGCGGGGGCGGGUUCACCGGUGGCGGAGGCGGGUUCACCGGUGGCGGAGGCGACGGUGGAGGUGUGACCGUAGGAGGAGGAGGCGAUGGCGACACGGGAGGCGAGGCAGGAGGCGCCUGCGGCGGAGGAGACGCCGGGGGAGGGGUGGGGCUCGACGGAGGCGGCGUGGGCGGAGACGUCGGCGGAAUACCGGGCGGCGGCGUCAGCGAAGGAGACGAGGAAGGUGCGGGCGGAGGAGCUGUUGGAGGCGGAGAGGAAAGAGGCGGCGACGUGGGGUUGGUCGGAGGAGGAGCGGAAGGAGGCGGCGACGUGGGGUUGAUCGGAGGAGUAGCGGAAGGAGGCGGCGACGUGGGGUUGAUCGGAGGAGGAGCGGAAGGAGGUGGCGACGUGGGGUCGAUCGGAGGAGGAGUGGAAGGAGGCGGCGACGUGGGGUUGGGUGGCGACGGCGUCGGGCUCGAGGGCGGAGGAGGCGACGACAUGACGGCAAAACCGGGUGCAAUUGCCGGCGGGAAACCGGUUCAGACACUACUUAAUUCUCGCCUGUUGGCCCUCCAAAUAAUU